This 67-nucleotide microRNA precursor is filed under the name Folsomia candida. RNAcentral's name for it is "mir-2 microRNA precursor family". It matches the Rfam family "mir-2 microRNA precursor family". From Rfam's summary of the family: The miRNAs are transcribed as ~70nt precursors (modelled here) and subsequently processed by the Dicer enzyme to give a ~22nt product. In this case the mature sequence comes from the 3' arm of the precursor. The extents of the hairpin precursors are not generally known and are estimated based on hairpin prediction. The record is from Rfam by way of RNAcentral. Lineage: Eukaryota; Metazoa; Arthropoda; Collembola; Entomobryomorpha; Isotomidae.
UGGCUCGCAAAGUGGGUGUGGUAUGUGGAUCUUGUCAUCAUAUCACAGCCAGCUUUGAUGAGCUAGG